AACGAACGCUGGCGGCAUGCCUAACACAUGCAAGUCGAACGAAGCCUUCGGGCUUAGUGGCGCACGGGUGCGUAACGCGUGGGAAUCUGCCCCUUGCUUCGGAAUAACAGUUAGAAAUGACUGCUAAUACCGGAUGAAGUCUUCGGACCAAAGAUUUAUCGGCAAGGGAUGAGCCCGCGUAGGAUUAGGUAGUUGGUGGGGUAAAGGCCUACCAAGCCGACGAUCCUUAGCUGGUCUGAGAGGAUGAUCAGCCACACUGGGACUGAGACACGGCCCAAACUCCUACGGGAGGCAGCAGUGGGGAAUAUUGGACAAUGGACGCAAGUCUGAUCCAGCAAUGCCGCGUGAGUGAUGAAGGCCUUAGGGUUGUAAAGCUCUUUUACCAGGGAUGAUAAUGACAGUACCUGGAGAAUAAGCUCCGGCUAACUCCGUG
Molecule: ribosomal RNA, 433 nt
Filed under: uncultured bacterium
Lineage: Bacteria
Description: partial 16S ribosomal RNA
Rfam family: Bacterial small subunit ribosomal RNA
Source: RNAcentral